This 253-nucleotide ribosomal RNA is filed under the name uncultured bacterium. RNAcentral describes it as "partial 16S ribosomal RNA". It matches the Rfam family "Bacterial small subunit ribosomal RNA", at positions 524 to 776 of the family's 1533-position model. The record is from RNAcentral.
UACGGAGGGUGCGAGCGUUGUCCGGAAUCACUGGGCGUAAAGCGUGCGCAGGCGGUUUUGUAAGCCAGAUGUGAAAUCCCCGGGCUUAACCUGGGAAUGGCAUUUGGGACUGCAAGGCUCGAGUGCGGCAGAGGAGACUGGAAUUCCUGGUGUAGCAGUGAAAUGCGUAGAUAUCAGGAGGAACACCGAUGGCGAAGGCAGGUCUCUGGGCUGACACUGACGCUCAUGCACGAAAGCGUGGGGAGCAAACAGG